Molecule: ribosomal RNA, 565 nt
Filed under: Cladosporium lebrasiae
Lineage: Eukaryota; Fungi; Ascomycota; Dothideomycetes; Cladosporiales; Cladosporiaceae
Description: eukaryotic LSU rRNA
Rfam family: Eukaryotic large subunit ribosomal RNA
Source: RNAcentral
AAACCAACAGGGAUUGCUCUAGUAACGGCGAGUGAAGCAGCAAUAGCUCAAAUUUGAAAUCUGGCGUCUUCGGCGUCCGAGUUGUAAUUUGUAGAGGAUGCUUCUGGGCAGCCACCGACCUAAGUUCCUUGGAACAGGACGUCAUAGAGGGUGAGAAUCCCGUAUGCGGUCGGAAAGGCACCCUACACGUAGCUCCUUCGACGAGUCGAGUUGUUUGGGAAUGCAGCUCUAAAUGGGAGGUAAAUUUCUUCUAAAGCUAAAUAUUGGCCAGAGACCGAUAGCGCACAAGUAGAGUGAUCGAAAGAUGAAAAGCACUUUGGAAAGAGAGUUAAAAAGCACGUGAAAUUGUUGAAAGGGAAGGGAUUGCAACCAGACUUGCUCGCGGUGUUCCGCCGGUCUUCUGACCGGUUCAUUCGCCGCGUUGCAGGCCAGCAUCGUCUGGUGCCGCUGGAUAAGACUUGAGGAAUGUAGCUCCCUCGGGAGUGUUAUAGCCUCUUGUGAUGCAGCGAGCGCCGGGCGAGGUCCGCGCUUCGGCUAGGAUGCUGGCGUAAUGGUUGUAAUCCGC